This 526-nucleotide ribosomal RNA is filed under the name uncultured bacterium. RNAcentral's name for it is "bacterial SSU rRNA". It matches the Rfam family "Bacterial small subunit ribosomal RNA", at positions 19 to 518 of the family's 1533-position model. The record is from RNAcentral.
CUGGCCAGGACGAACGCUGGCGGCGUGCCUAAUACAUGCAAGUCGAACGGUCUUUUCUAUGGAAGCUUGCUUCCACUGAGAAGAUAGUGGCGAACGGGUGAGUAACACGUGGGUAACCUGCCCAUAAGAGGGGGAUAACAUCCGGAAACGGGUGCUAAUACCGCAUAGUUUUCUUGAUUGCAUGAUUGAGAAAGGAAAGACGGCCUUUGUGCUGUCGCUUAUGGAUGGACCCGCGGCGUAUUAGUUAGUUGGUGAGGUAACGGCUCACCAAGACGAUGAUACGUAGCCGACCUGAGAGGGUGAUCGGCCACAUUGGGACUGAGACACGGCCCAAACUCCUACGGGAGGCAGCAGUAGGGAAUCUUCCGCAAUGGACGAAAGUCUGACGGAGCAACGCCGCGUGAGUGAAAGAAGGUUUUCGGAUCGUAAAACUCUGUUGUCAGAGAAGAACAAGUUGGAGAGUAACUGCUCCAGCCUUGACGGUAUCUGACCAGAAAGCCACGGCUAACUACGUGCCAGCCGCCGC